Molecule: microRNA, 23 nt
Filed under: Ornithorhynchus anatinus (platypus)
Lineage: Eukaryota; Metazoa; Chordata; Mammalia; Monotremata; Ornithorhynchidae
Description: oan-miR-7427-3p
Source: miRBase by way of RNAcentral
CUCGGCUUGUCUGCUUGGCCCUG